Molecule: ribosomal RNA, 429 nt
Filed under: Gemmatimonadota bacterium
Lineage: Bacteria; Pseudomonadati; Gemmatimonadota
Description: Gemmatimonadetes bacterium partial 16S ribosomal RNA
Rfam family: Bacterial small subunit ribosomal RNA
Source: RNAcentral
UAGGGAAUCUUCGGCAAUGGACGAAAGUCUGACCGAGCAACGCCGCGUGAGUGAAGAAGGUUUUCGGAUCGUAAAACUCUGUUGUUAGAGAAGAACAAGGACGUUAGUAACUGAACGUCCCCUGACGGUAUCUAACCAGAAAGCCACGGCUAACUACGUGCCAGCAGCCGCGGUAAUACGUAGGUGGCAAGCGUUGUCCGGAUUUAUUGGGCGUAAAGCGAGCGCAGGCGGUUUCUUAAGUCUGAUGUGAAAGCCCCCGGCUCAACCGGGGAGGGUCAUUGGAAACUGGGAGACUUGAGUGCAGAAGAGGAGAGUGGAAUUCUAUGUGUAGCGGUGAAAUGCGUAGAUAUAUGGGGGAACACCAGUGGCGAAGGCGGCUCUCUGGUCUGUAACUGACGCUGAGGCUCGAAAGCGUGGGGAGCAAACAGG